Camelina sativa (false flax) is the source of this 350-nucleotide non-coding RNA. NCBI's taxonomy places the organism in Eukaryota, Viridiplantae, Streptophyta, Magnoliopsida, Brassicales, Brassicaceae. The record is from RefSeq and is a predicted model, not a curated record.
GAGACCUUUGAACGAGAUAGGCAAGUUUUCCUAGAGCAGGCUGCCAUGGAGCAUGAGAAAGCUCGAAAAUUCGUCAACAGAAACGACCCAGACACUGCCAUCCUCUGGUUGAGGAUGAAGAAAAUGGACCAGCUAUCUGCUGAAUACUGUCAGGAAAAACUGCUUCAUUUACGCGAACAAUUGGCUCGUCUUGAAAGGAUACGAUUGCAAUUGUUGAGGGACGACGAUCUCACCCCCCACAAUCCAAUGCUUGUGUUUACACUUUCUUUGGCUUUUUGUUUGUUCCUUCUGUUUUCAACUUACUUUGUGUUUUCGUAGAUAAGUUAUGAAUGUGCUAUAUAAGUCGUCAA